UAGGUGUGUGUUCCAGGUAAAUCCGGUUCACUUUAACACUGAGGCGUGAUGACGAGGCACUACGGUGCUGAAGUAACAAAUGCCCUGCUUCCAGGAAAAGCCUCUAAGCAUCAGGUAACAUCAAAUCGUACCCCAAACCGACACAGGUGGUCAGGUAGAGAAUACCAAGGCGCUUGAGAGAACUCGGGUGAAGGAACUAGGCAAAAUGGUGCCGUAACUUCGGGAGAAGGCACGCUGACACGUAGGUGAAGUGAUUUACUCACGGAGCUGAAGUCAGUCGAAGAUACCAGCUGGCUGCAACUGUUUAUUAAAAACACAGCACUGUGCAAACACGAAAGUGGACGUAUACGGUGUGACGCCUGCCCGGUGCCGGAAGGUUAAUUGAUGGGGUCAGCGCAAGCGAAGCUCCUGAUCGAAGCCCCGGUAAACGGCGGCCGUAACUAUAACGGUCCUAAGGUAGCGAAAUUCCUUGUCGGGUAAGUUCCGACCUGCACGAAUGGCGUAAUGAUGGCCAGGCUGUCUCCACCCGAGACUCAGUGAAAUUGAACUCGCUGUGAAGAUGCAGUGUACCCGCGGCAAGACGGAAAGACCCCGUGAACCUUUACUAUAGCUUGACACUGAACAUUGAGCCUUGAUGUGUAGGAUAGGUGGGAGGCUUUGAAGUGUGGACGCCAGUCUGCAUGGAGCCGACCUUGAAAUACCACCCUUUAAUGUUUGAUGUUCUAACGUGGACCCGUUACCCGGGUUGCGGACAGUGUCUGGUGGGUAGUUUGACUGGGGCGGUCUCCUCCUAAAGAGUAACGGAGGAGCACGAAGGUUGGCUAAUCCUGGUCGGACAUCAGGAGGUUAGUGCAAUGGCAUAAGCCAGCUUGACUGCGAGCGUGACGGCGCGAGCAGGUGCGAAAGCAGGUCAUAGUGAUCCGGUGGUUCUGAAUGGAAGGGCCAUCGCUCAACGGAUAAAAGGUACUCCGGGGAUAACAGGCUGAUACCGCCCAAGAGUUCAUAUCGACGGCGGUGUUUGGCACCUCGAUGUCGGCUCAUCACAUCCUGGGGCUGAAGCAGGUCCCAAGGGUAUGGCUGUUCGCCAUUUAAAGUGGUACGCGAGCUGGGUUUAGAACGUCGUGAGACAGUUCGGUCCCUAUCUGCCGUGGGCGCUGGAGAACUGAGGGGGGCUGCUCCUAGUACGAGAGGACCGGAGUGGACGCAUCACUGGUGUUCGGGUUGUCAUGCCAAUGGCACUGCCCGGUAGCUAAAUGCGGAAGAGAUAAGUGCUGAAAGCAUCUAAGCACGAAACUUGCCCCGAGAUGAGUUCUCCCUGAGACUUAGAGUCUCCUGAAGGAACGUUGAAGACGACGACGUUGAUAGGCCGGGUGUGUAAGCGCAGCGAUGCGUUGAGCUAACCGGUACUAAUGAACCGUGAGGCUUAACC
This 1429-nucleotide ribosomal RNA is filed under the name Salmonella enterica subsp. enterica serovar Gallinarum/Pullorum str. FCAV198. RNAcentral's name for it is "bacterial LSU rRNA". It matches the Rfam family "Bacterial large subunit ribosomal RNA", at positions 1521 to 2925 of the family's 2925-position model. Lineage: Bacteria; Pseudomonadati; Pseudomonadota; Gammaproteobacteria; Enterobacterales; Enterobacteriaceae. The record is from RNAcentral.